This 650-nucleotide ribosomal RNA is filed under the name Salamandrella keyserlingii (Siberian salamander). Its description in RNAcentral is "partial 12S ribosomal RNA". It matches the Rfam family "Bacterial small subunit ribosomal RNA", at positions 547 to 1525 of the family's 1533-position model. The record is from RNAcentral. Lineage: Eukaryota; Metazoa; Chordata; Amphibia; Caudata; Hynobiidae.
ACGGCCUAAAGAGUGGUUAAACUAUAUUAAAAUAAAUAGAAAUGAAAAUUAAUUUGACUGUCGCACGUAUUUAUUAAUCGUAAAAUCAUAAACGAAAGAUAUUCUAAUAAACAAAUUAUUUGAACCCACGAAAGCUAAGAAACAAACUAGGAUUAGAUACCCUACUAUGCUUAGCCUUAAACUUUGGAAACCCCGCCUGAGUACUACGAGCCACAGCUUAAAACUCAAAGGACUUGGCGGUGCUCUAUACCCCCCUAGAGGAGCCUGUUCUAUAAUUGAUAAUCCCCGCUAAACCUCGCCACUUAUUGCCAAUUCCGCCUAUAUACCGCCGUCGUCAGCCCACCAUUUAAAUGUGGAGUAGUAGGCAUAAUGAUAAACAUAAAAACGUCAGGUCAAGGUGUAGCGAAUUAAGUGGAAAGAAAUGGGCUACAUUUUCUACACAGAAAAUACGAAAAAUAUUAUGAAAAAAAAUUUAAAGGUGGAUUUAGCAGUAAAAAGAAAACAGAGUGUCCUUUUUAAAUAGGCCCUAGAGCGCGCACACACCGCCCGUUACCCUCCUCAAGAUAAACAAUAAUAACAUAAUAAUAUUAAUACAAAAGAAGAGGUAAGUCGUAACAUGGUAAGUUUACCGGAAGGUGUACUUGGAUUAU